UACAGAGGGGGCAAGCGUUAUUCGGAAUUAUUGGGCGUAAAGGGCGCGUAGGCGGCUUGGCAAGUGGAAGGUGAAAUCCCUCGGCUUAACCGAGGAACUGCCUUCCAGACUGCUUUGCUUGAGGCCGGGAGAGGCGAGUGGAAUUCCCAGUGUAGCGGUGAAAUGCGUAGAUAUUGGGAGGAACACCAGUGGCGAAGGCGGCUCGCUGGACCGGUUCUGACGCUGAGGCGCGAAAGCUAGGGGAGCGAACGGG
Molecule: ribosomal RNA, 253 nt
Filed under: uncultured bacterium
Lineage: Bacteria
Description: partial 16S ribosomal RNA
Rfam family: Bacterial small subunit ribosomal RNA
Source: RNAcentral